AACAUGGAUGGAGUUGGAGGCUGUCAUCCCUAGCAGACUAAUGCAGGAAGAGAAAACCAAAUAUCACACAUUUUCACUUGUAAGUUGGGAGCUAAAUGAUGAGUACUUCUGAACACAAAGAAGGAAACAACAGACACUGUGGUCUACUUGAGGGAGGAGGGAGAGUGGAAGGAGGGAGAGGGAUGCAGUUGGAAACGUGUUCUCUUUUUAUGAUCCCAAGAAAAGAGAAGUGUAUGAGAAAAGAGAGUUGAUUUGGAGUUAUACAAAAUAUAGAAAUCAUUGGAUAAAUAGGAAACUUCAUUUUAAUUUGAGAUGUUAAAAUAUUUGGAAGAUUUUCAAAAUGAUUUAUAUGAAGGUAAGUGAUAACAGCAAUUUUUGGUUCACUAUCAUCAUCUUUAAAAACAACAUACUUUUUAAUGAUUCAUUUGCUUAAACCAACUUGGUAGUAAGAAUUUGGUAUGAAAUCUUCAUAAAUCAGUAAUAAACUCAAAACCCUCUACUCUUCAUGAAACAGAAAUUGUAUUUACCAAAAAUAAAUCAGUAGUAAAAUGGAAAACUAGUUUUCUAACUUGUUGAUUGAUAAGGUUAUCAUAAAUUUGUAUAUAAAGUAUGCUAUUGAAUGUUUCAAGUUUUUAAACUUUACCUAGAUAGUGUUGUAACAUACUUAAUAUUUAAUUUGUUUUUUUUUUCACUUAACAUCAGUUUUUUGGGAUGGACCUUGAGGAUAUAGGUAGCUAUAAUUCAUUCAUGUUUACUGUCAUAUAGUAUUAUAUAACAUCUCAUAAUUUAUUCGUCUAAUUUUAGAUUGCUUUUAGUCUUCUGCUGCUAUAAACAUUUUUUGUAUAUGUUUUCUUGUGCAUACAUAAGAAAGUUUCUCUAGGGAAAUGCUUGUGUGAGAAAUUGCUGGAUCUUAGGCUAAGCACAUUUUAAAAUAUCCUAGAUAUUGGCAAAUUUUAUUCUAAAGGGAUUGUGCUGAUUUGUAUUUCCAAACUGAGAACACUGAGAAUUCCUGUUUUCUCAUGUUUGUGAAAAACUUGAAUUUAAAAAAAAUUUUGUAUCACCAAUUACUAGUUAGAACAGUGAGCAUUUGGAUAUCUUAGUCUCUAAAUUUGUUUACAUGCUUUGCCAUUUUUAUAUUUUAUUGUUUUUGUUUCAUUUUUAAUUGAUCCAUAGGAAUUCCUUCUGGAAUUUUAAUAGUAAUCCAUGGUGAUGUAUUAUAUGAUAUACAAUAUUUUAUAUAUUUUAUAUAUAUUGUAAGAUAUAUAUUUUACAUUUAUAUAUAUAUUAUAUAAUAUGUAUAUUUAUGUAUAUAUACAUGUUGUAUGUAUCUUCUACCAGAAUUGCUUGUAUUAUCACUUAAAAGACAAGUCUUAUAUUUGACGGAAGUAUUUAAUUCUAAAUUAGUCAAAUGUAUUCAUCUUUCUUAUAGUUUGUGCUUAUGCAUCUUGUCUAGGAAAUUAUUCCUCACACUGAAUUUAUUAAAAAGAUUUUCUAUAUUUAUUUCUAAAAGUUUUAAAGUUUUUUUUUGACACUUAGGUCUUUCGUUCACUUGGAAAUUUUUAAAUGUCAUAUAAGUAAAAAUUGAAUUUAUUUGUAUUCCUAUCAGGAGCAUAUUUCCCCGGUAUCGUUUACUGAAUAUUCCAUUAUUUACCUACUGACUUGAGGUGAUGUCUCUGUCGCACACCAAAUGACCCAAAGUAUAGACAGGCCUGUUUCUGAGUUCUCUCUUCCGUUCGUUGGUCUCUUUGUCUUUCUCUGCAUGAGUAUCACCCAGUUUUAAUUAUUAUAAUUUUAUAAUAAAUCUUGAUAGCUUGUAGAACUAGCCAUCCAUUUUCACUUUCAAAAAUAUCUUGGCUAUUCUUGGUGUUUUAUUUUUUCAUUUAACUUUUAAUAUCCACUUGUUAAGGUGACACGAAACUGGUAUUAGACAUGAUUGAUCUCCCUAUUUAUUUAGGUCUGUUUUAUGUCUUUGGCAAAAUUUUAAUAUUGUCAUUCGAGUUCUUGCACAUCUUUGUUAAAUUUACUACUAGGCACCUUAUAGUUUUUAUAGCUAAUAGAAAUGGUAACUUUUGGGGCUAGUGUGGUGGCUUAUGCCUGUAAUCCCAGCACUUUGGGAGGCUGAGGUCGGGGGAUCUCUUUAACCCAGGAGUUUGAGACCAACUCGAGAAACAUAGUGAGACCCUGUCUCUACAAAAAAAA
This 2199-nucleotide long non-coding RNA is filed under the name Macaca fascicularis (crab-eating macaque). Its description in RNAcentral is "lncRNA (ENSMFAG00000052674.1)". Lineage: Eukaryota; Metazoa; Chordata; Mammalia; Primates; Cercopithecidae. The record is from RNAcentral.